GAUGCCCAGCUUGCUGGGUGGAUUAGUGGCGAACGGGUGAGUAACACGUGAGUAACCUGCCCCUGACUCUGGGAUAAGCGUUGGAAACGACGUCUAAUACUGGAUAUGACCGCCGAUCGCAUGGUCUGGUGGUGGAAAGAUUUUUUGGUUGGGGAUGGACUCGCGGCCUAUCAGCUUGUUGGUGAGGUAAUGGCUCACCAAGGCGACGACGGGUAGCCGGCCUGAGAGGGUGACCGGCCACACUGGGACUGAGACACGGCCCAGACUCCUACGGGAGGCAGCAGUGGGGAAUAUUGCACAAUGGGCGAAAGCCUGAUGCAGCAACGCCGCGUGAGGGAUGACGGCCUUCGGGUUGUAAACCUCUUUUAGUAGGGAAGAAGCGUAAGUGACGGUACCUGCAGAAAAAGCACCGGCUAACUACGUGCCAGCAGCCGCGGUAAUACGUAGGGUGCAAGCGUUGUCCGGAAUUAUUGGGCGUAAAGAGCUCGUAGGCGGUUUGUCGCGUCUGCUGUGAAAUCCCGAGGCUCAACCUCGGGCUUGCAGUGGGUACGGGCAGACUAGAGUGCGGUAGGGGAGAUUGGAAUUCCUGGUGUAGCGGUGGAAUGCGCAGAUAUCAGGAGGAACACCGAUGGCGAAGGCAGAUCUCUGGGCCGUAACUGACGCUGAGGAGCGAAAGCGUGGGGAGCGAACAGGAUUAGAUACCCUGGUAGUCCACGCCGUAAACGUUGGGCGCUAGAUGUAGGGACCUUUCCACGGUUUCUGUGUCGUAGCUAACGCAUUAAGCGCCCCGCCUGGGGAGUACGGCCGCAAGGCUAAAACUCAAAGGAAUUGACGGGGGCCCGCACAAGCGGCGGAGCAUGCGGAUUAAUUCGAUGCAACGCGAAGAACCUUACCAAGGCUUGACAUACACCGGAAACGGCCAGAGAUGGUUGCCCCCUUGUGGUCGGUGUACAGGUGGUGCAUGGUUGUCGUCAGCUCGUGUCGUGAGAUGUUGGGUUAAGUCCCGCAACGAGCGCAACCCUCGUUCUAUGUUGCCAGCGCGUUAUGGCGGGGACUCAUAGGAGACUGCCGGGGUCAACUCGGAGGAAGGUGGGGAUGACGUCAAAUCAUCAUGCCCCUUAUGUCUUGGGCUUCACGCAUGCUACAAUGGCCGGUACAAAGGGCUGCGAUACCGUAAGGUGGAGCGAAUCCCAAAAAGCCGGUCUCAGUUCGGAUUGAGGUCUGCAACUCGACCUCAUGAAGUCGGAGUCGCUAGUAAUCGCAGAUCAGCAACGCUGCGGUGAAUACGUUCCCGGGCCUUGUACACACCGCCCGUCAAGUCAUGAAAGUCGGUAACACCCGAAGCCGGUGGCCUA
RNAcentral lists this ribosomal RNA (1355 nucleotides) under Curtobacterium sp. Its description in RNAcentral is "bacterial SSU rRNA". It matches the Rfam family "Bacterial small subunit ribosomal RNA", at positions 70 to 1437 of the family's 1533-position model. The record is from RNAcentral. Lineage: Bacteria; Bacillati; Actinomycetota; Actinomycetes; Micrococcales; Microbacteriaceae.